CUUAUUUCAAAGUUGAUGGUCUUGGAAAUGUUGGCGCAGCAUCUCGAUAAAAUUGUUAGCAAUCCUCAUCCAGCGUGUUUGCAGAGCCAUGACUUUGUUCAAGAGGUACAGCGUUUGUUUAUGGUGUAAAUCGAGGACACACAUGUGCAACAUCAUCGGAGAAUCGAGGACAGGGACCAAAUCGAGGAUUCCUCGGUUAGAAACGUGUACAAAACCAAUGAGAGCUGUUGCGAAAAAGUUAUAGUACAAACAAAGGAAAAGGGAAGGGGAACAAAAGAAAAUCCUUGAUUUACACCAUAAACAAACGUGUAUGUGUAAGCAAAGGUAAACAUGAUAAAGUAAAUUUGAGUCCCUGCAAAAUUUCCAAGGAUAAUGAUUUAUACUGGGAAUUUAAUAACGUCCUGAAACAAAACUACUCAAUGAUUAUGCAUGGAAAUGAAAGGCAAUUCUUAAAAGCGAUUUUAAAAAUUGUGUGUCUCCACUUGUUACUUCACCAUUCUUGUAGCUUUCAUGUACGGAAUGAUUUCUGCAAAGCUUGUAGGCCUACGCAGUGUGUUUGCACUUAAAAUGGGUGAUAGCUGCAGCUCACGAUCAUAUUCCUUUUGUUUGUUAAUUUGCAAGACUGUGUCAAGCAAAUGCUAAUCUAAAGUUGUCAGCUCUAUGCAUAAAGUAUCUUUAAAAGCCACAGCCUAAAUGCUAGACAGUUUCUUUUGCUUCUAACUUGCCUUGUAUUUCGGAUAAUAACCCCCCUCUCUCUCCCCACUAACCCUCUUCCUUAGUCCUGUUGCUCUUGUGGGUCCCCCUCAACACCGUCUUGUUGUGGGACCGGUAACUCGUGUUCCUGUUCCCACUGUGAAUGUGCCGGCUGUGACUGUGCCUGCCAGGCCCCAGAAUGUGACACCAUUGACUGCCUGUGCUUCAAGGUCAACAUGCACAACUGAAUGUGCUCAUUCUGCCUCCAGCCGUAGAGGAAUGACAAAUAAUGCAACGCUCAUGGCAAUGCUGGAGGAAUGUCUGUCAUCAGUAGUGUUAGGUUUGCGAGUAUGGCUCCGUGCAGAAGUACCCCUCAACGGUUACAAAGGGAGAGUUGGGGGAGAUGGGCAGGGACGUUCGAACACAUUCAAAGACGCUAAGGAAUUGGCGUACAUUUAGAAUACAUUUAGUCAGUACUUUGCGCCAUACGCAUGCGAACCAGUAUGCGAACCUGGUGUGUUAAUUUCGUCCACUGGGCUUGAGAAAGUGGUCAAAAAUAUCCAUCUACUGUUUGCACAGAGUCUAUAGACUGUUAUCAUGCAGCCACCAUUUCAGUCAUGUUCCCUGUAUUCAAUAUAAGUACUGAAUGAUAAUGUUUUUUUGUGCAAAAAGGAACCAGACUAUUUUUCCUUGCAGCCUCGCUUGGGUUACGUUGAUUUGAAUGGGAAAAAAAGCAAGAUGGCCGCAAUAUGAUAAUGGUCUAUUGGGCCACUACUUAAGUUUGUCAUUGUUUUGAAUUUGGCACAAGUGUACUUUCUUUUCUUGAGUAACUUAAAAGAUGCUUUCAGGUUGAGUUGAAGCUAGGAUUCAUUUAAGCAGAGUGUUCAAAUGCACAGACAAUUUAUUACAGGGAAGGCCCUCACCGCAUGUGUGCAGGAAGAGUGGGGCAGUGAGCCCCUUUUUCAGUUUCACAAUUUUUACCCAGUUUGAUACAAUUUUUGUCCUUUUGUAAGCCUGGAGUACAUGUGUACUCAGCACUGCUGCACUGAUCUAUGGCUGGACGGUUGUGAACAUGGUUUGUUAUUGCCCUGGUCUGGGUACAAUGAACACUUUCAUCGUGGAAGUUGCAUGGUGACUGCGCUUUAAUAAUAGCAAGCUGGGGAAAGGAGCCACGUCCAGCAUGCAUGUUGGAUCUUACUGUGCUUGAACAGGGCCAUUGCUAGUGGGAGGGUGUGGGGGCGUAUGACACCCACCCAUUCAUAAUUUCUGUCGGCAAAUCCAUAAUUGUUGUCGGCAAAUGUGUAAAAUUGAGGGCCUUUUUUAUAUUCUUUUACUGUUGUUGGCAAAUUUUGAAUCGGAGGACUUUUUUUUUUUUGUUCUUUGUUUUUUGCUAGUCAAAUAUUUCAUUGCAAGUUUGUCGGCAAAUUUUACUUUUCACACCCAUAACUUUUUCUGUUGGUAAAUUUGAGGAAGUUUUUUUCUUUUCGACAUGUCGAAAGUUUUGUAUGCAAACUUGUUGGCAAAUUUGGUCCUACACCCCCCCCCCCUCCCCAUUGAAAAUGUUCUAGCGACGCCCCUGUGCUUGAAGAUAAUUCAUUAUACCACUUGCACUUGUGGAACACGAAAAAACGGGUGCAUACCUAUGUUCCCCAAUACUGAUGUUCCCUGAAAUCCUAAGCCUAACCCUAACCCUAAUCCUAAGGAUUUCGGGGAAUAUCGAUAUUGGGGAGCAUAGGUAUUGGGGAGCAUUGGGUAGACCCCCACGAAAACAAAUAGUGUGUCUGUGUUCCACAUGCCAAUGGGACACAGGUGCACUACAUUAUUUUGUGUCUACCUGUCGAUCGUUGGAUAUCUCAUAGGGUAAUACGUAUACACAUUUCUGUUUGUAGAAAGUGUGUUUUUAAGUUUGUACUAAUGACUACAUAUGGGACAAGUUUGUGUUAUAUUGUGCAUCUGGUUUGUUGUGUACUUGUAAAUAUAUUUUCAUAUUGUU
This 2686-nucleotide long non-coding RNA is filed under the name Patiria miniata (bat star). RNAcentral describes it as "uncharacterized LOC119743006". The record is from RNAcentral. Lineage: Eukaryota; Metazoa; Echinodermata; Asteroidea; Valvatida; Asterinidae.